CUCACUCUCAGUCCCUCCCU
This 20-nucleotide microRNA is filed under the name Homo sapiens (human). Its description in RNAcentral is "hsa-miR-6794-3p". Lineage: Eukaryota; Metazoa; Chordata; Mammalia; Primates; Hominidae. The record is from miRBase by way of RNAcentral.